GGCCCGCCAGAUUAUUACAAGUAAAAACUUAAAACUCAAAGGACUUGACGGUGUCCCACACACAACCUAGAGGAGCCUGUCCUAUAAUCGAUGAUCCACGAAGGACCUUACCACCUUUUGCCCAACAAUCUAUAUACCGCCGUCGGAAGUUCACCUUAUGAAAGAAAAAAAGUGAACGGAAUAGUUAGACACAAGCACGUCAGGUCAAGGUGUAGUUAAUAAGGUGGACCGAGAUGGGCUACAUUUCCUAUAAAAGGAAAAACGGACGGUCAAAUGAAAAUAAACCAGAAGGAGGAUUUAGUAGUAAAACAGGAUCAGCAAGCCUGCUUGAACACACUGCCCUGGGACGCGCACACACCGCCC
This 363-nucleotide ribosomal RNA is filed under the name Typhlops sp. SBH-2014a. RNAcentral describes it as "partial 12S ribosomal RNA". It matches the Rfam family "Bacterial small subunit ribosomal RNA", at positions 866 to 1395 of the family's 1533-position model. The record is from RNAcentral. Lineage: Eukaryota; Metazoa; Chordata; Lepidosauria; Squamata; Typhlopidae.